AGUACGGAUUCUGGGCGUAAGCGUGCGUAGGCGGCUGUUUAAGUCAGAUGUGAAAGCCCCGGGCUUAACCUGGGAACUGCAUUUGAUACUGGGCAGCUAGAGUUGAGUAGAGGAGAGGGGAAUUUCAGGUGUAGCGGUGAAAUGCGUAGAGAUCUGAAGGAACACCAGUGGCGAAGGCGCCUCUCUGGACUCAAACUGACGCUGAGGUACGAAAGCGUGGGUAGCAAACAGGAUUAGAUACCCUGGUAGUCCACGCCGUAAACGAUGUCAACUAGCCGUUGGUCUUAUUCGUAAGAUUAGUGGCGUAGCUAACGCGAUAAGUUGACCGCCUGGGGAGUACGGCCGCAAGGUUAAAACUCAAAUGAAUUGACGGGGGCCCGCACAAGCGGUGGAGCAUGUGGUUUAAUUCGAUGCAACGCGAAGAACCUUACCUACCCUUGACAUCCAUAGAAUC
This 454-nucleotide ribosomal RNA is filed under the name uncultured Gammaproteobacteria bacterium. Its description in RNAcentral is "bacterial SSU rRNA". It matches the Rfam family "Bacterial small subunit ribosomal RNA", at positions 542 to 997 of the family's 1533-position model. Lineage: Bacteria; Pseudomonadati; Pseudomonadota; Gammaproteobacteria. The record is from RNAcentral.